Molecule: long non-coding RNA, 558 nt
Organism: Cheilinus undulatus (humphead wrasse)
Lineage: Eukaryota; Metazoa; Chordata; Actinopteri; Labriformes; Labridae
Exons: 3
Source: RefSeq, a predicted model, not a curated record
UUAAUGCCUGUCUGACUUGUGUAGUUCAGUGUUUGGGAGAAAUUAAUAAACGUUGCUCCGGAAAUAUUUAGUCCUGGGAUUUAGUACGACCGUGAAUUACAACAACUUCAAGCUAGCUAGAUAAUUAUGUACCCUUUAUGUCAGUUCUGGACUUAAAACGAAGUAGAUAGACCACAGACUUCUCAUUCAAACAGCGAGGAUGCUAGUGCUAACAUGGUGGACCUAUUUAUUUCCCAUGGAGGAGGAUAAUGAGGAGGAAGAUGAGGAUGAAGAAAAAACCCGCCUGGAUGAGCUACACCACACCCUGUCUGGAGGAGUGUUGCUGUCUCUGUUUGAUUGACAGCAGCUGGUACACCGAGCUCCUGCAGGGAACAACAGAUGAUUGAAACAAACCUCUGCGCCGCAUCAACAGACAACAUGCAGAUCAAGACUGAAGUUUUUGGAAUAGUUGAUCUGUGGAGGGGGGAUCAGCAGCAGUGUUGGUUUGGAGCCGUUAUUGUCUGAUGGUAAAAACACCUGCUGAACCAAGACGGAGAAAGCUGAACUGAACUGAACUGA